UGUAUUCGCACUGCUUGUCACAAGUUGUCAACAGGUUUGGAACAACUUGUUGACAACUUGUAACAACCUUGUCGAAAUUAUCAGACUUGUUGCAAGGUUGUUCUGACAAGUCCGUUACAUGCUUGAUGUAACAAGAUUGUUACAACCUUGUGUUGACAACCUUGUAACAUCCUUGUUAUAUCAUGGCUGUAACAAACUUGUUGGCACAAUCUUGUAACAAGGCUGAUAAUGCCAUCAAGCUUGUCACAAGUUGUUAACAGCUUGUUCC
RNAcentral lists this long non-coding RNA (268 nucleotides) under Paramuricea clavata. Lineage: Eukaryota; Metazoa; Cnidaria; Anthozoa; Malacalcyonacea; Plexauridae. The record is from RNAcentral.